GACUCUCUGUGUGCAAAUCAUGAUGACUUGGAGCACUGUCAUGGGAAGUUUUUAUUCAUCUUUACCUAUAUUUAUUGGAUUAGGUUCCAUUGGCAGGUGAGAUUCUUAUCCUAAAUGCUUUAUUCUAUUUUUGCCAAGACACUUCUCCUUAAUAUGUUUAAUAUUCAUAAUAAAUUUCUAAUGCAUUUCUAAUUAGGAUUUUUUCUAAUGGUGAUUAAAUCUGUCAUAGCGUCAACAGGUUAAAGACGAUGUACCCUUUUCCCGUUUAGAUACCAACCAUUGCAUUCAGCAGUCAGAUCUGUUGCUUAUUUAUUUGUAGAAUCAAGUGGGUUAAAAGCAUCUAUUAACGACACUUCAAUAAAACACUCUUUUCUUAUUUGUGUGAGUACUAUUUGUUUCACCUUUUGCACCUCAUCAUCAUAGCAUCUGGUUUCAAAAAUGAAUGACUACUUGCGAAGGUAUUGUUUUUAGUUUCUUCUUUUUGGUUCAACUUCUUUGAUUUUCAGUAGUUGGUCCAUUAAUCAUCUAAAAUUUUCAGUAAGAUGUUUCUACAUCAUAUUCUUGAAUGUUCCUGAUUUCACAUCCAUGGUAUCUGCUUUGCCUUAGUACCUGUUCAAGCUUCACUCAUGAUUUGUUGCUUUCUCCCUAUCAGUCUUACCAUUUUGUUUUGCUUGCUUUACCUUGUAGCUUCUUCCAGUAGUUGUUUUUUUCCUUUAUGUCAGAGCUGCUCUGUCACACUUCUUAUGCUUUUACGAUGUCCUAAUAAAAGUUUUGUGUGGGCAGAUAAUUUUUUGCUUACUACAAACCGUAAGAAACUGAAGCUUACUGAUUUGGGGCUUGCACGAGAGGAAACUAUAACUGAAAUGAUGACGACUGAAACUGGGACAUACCGAUAUGGACAUAGAGGUUAUAAAUCACUCUUUUCCACACUAGAUAUUGAAUAUUAAAAAAAUUAGGAACUAAAGCCGAAAUAAACUGGUUCCUGGAUGUAGUUUCUCGAGUUGAUUCUUCAAAUUAUACAUCAAUUUUGUAUGCCCUCGUGAUAAAUUUCCCCCUGAAGUUUCUAGAGCGCACUGAUUUUAGGACCUUCUAUACAAAGAGAAAUCUGAUGCUCUAGAAUUUGUGUAUGAAGAUUUCUUUAAUAACAAUCGCGAAUAUAAUUAUAUUCUUCAAUUAAGUAAUGAUAAUGUAAUAUUGCAUCCUAUCAUUUACAAUCAGAUAGACAGGUGACCUUAAGUAUAAGGUUUCAAGCUAUUUAACGCUCAAUACUUGUUAUAUAAUUCUCCGUGGUAACAUCAACUGAGUUGGGCAUCAUAAUUGGCACUGAACAUCCAAAGUUAAGUUAGUGCUCACCAUUUCACGAUUAUAUUUUUGGUACUGAUAUUUUCAUAUUUCCAGUUCGUUGAAGAUAGAGGUCUGGCAUUGUAUUGAAGCUCAACUCCGCACGAAAGUGUACAACUUCACAGUUAUGUUCUGGCACUUGAAUUUGCUAUGCUUUUCAUGCAAGGAAUUUCAUGCUAGGAAUACUUACACGUUCAUUCUUAAAUCAUCUUGUUAUAUGGCAUUGUAGAUCUGAUGGAAAAGAACUUUGGUGAUAUAGGCCAGGGCGGAGGACGUUGUCAAUGGAAAACAUGGCUCCACAUGAAGGUUCACUUGCCAAUAGUCUUCAAGAAGAUGCGAAGGUCAUGGUUUUGUGUUGAUGACCCUUGAAAAAAUACCUUCUCAUUUUCUUGUUUGAAGGAACGCUAGGAGGAAUUGAGGAUGCGAAAAAUGUACGGAGGAAAGGGAGACUAGGAGAGGUGCACGGUGAGGCAUUGACGAAUCCUAAAAAGAGAAACUUUUGUCACGGUGUUCUCAUAUCCAAACUUGAAUCAAGUAUGCUUUUUGAAUGGCUUGCACUAAAGCAGAUUAUAAUUCUUAUACUUGUGUUUUGAAUUGACUACAUGUUGUCGUCUCCUCUUGUAUACAUCUUCUGUAUCUACGAUUUUGUGAUGGGUUGUUAAGCUACCAUUCAAGGGAAUGCAUGUUGACAAAUGUAUUGAUGCUUCCUUGAGUCUACUAAUAAUAUAUUUGUAAUGUAUUUUUCACUGAAAAAAGCACCACUAAUAGCACGCUGUAGAAUUUUCUAGCUAAAUAAAUCAAUGUACACUGCCUCGCUAAUAGAAUGCCAUAGUGCGAUAUAGCAUGCUAAUAGCGUAUUUUAAGGCCGCUCCUAUUUUGUUAUAGCGCGCUACUUUUUUGAUUGAUUUUUUUAGAGUUUAUCUCUACUCCUAAUGUCUUAGUUGGUAGUCUCCGUUCCACGGUUAAUUUUCGUCCCACCGAUCGUGGUUUUUUUUGUCCUCCCUCCCACCUUCCAGCGAUUCCCUCCUAAACUGCUGCGCUUCGGAUCCACCUGCCACUUCACCGGAGACGAACACUGUCGCGGAUGCGAGUAGAACGGGACCAGACCGAGCACCCGUGCCUGUUUCAGUAAGCUAGCUGCGCCCGUCCUCGUUGGUCGUGCCGCACACAGCUCGUCGGAGCCCCUAGCCGCGCCGAUGCGGUGGUCGGCGGGCGGAGUCGCAUGGUCGACGGUCACGGUGAUGCGGCAGGGGGAGGGGAGAUGGCCGAGAUGUUGGAGUGAGUGGAGAAGAUAGGUGAAUGAGCCACAAGACCGGCCACGGCAUGGGAUUGAUGCGGUGGUCGGCGGGCGGAGUCGCGCGGUUGCGGGGUCGGUGACUCGCACGGCGAUGCGGUGGGGAGAGGGCGAGAGGUGGCGGNNNNNNNNNNNNNNNNNNNNNNNNNNNNNNNNNNNNNNNNNNNNNNNNNNNNNNNNNNNNNNNNNNNNNNNNNNNNNNNNNNNNNNNNNNNNNNNNNNNNNNNNNNNNNNNNNNNNNNNNNNNNNNNNNNNNNNNNNNNNNNNNNNNNNNNNNNNNNNNNNNNNNNNNNNNNNNNNNNNNNNNNNNNNNNNNNNNNNNNNNNNNNNNNNNNNNNNNNNNNNNNNNNNNNNNNNNNNNNNNNNNNNNNNNNNNNNNNNNNNNNNNNNNNNNNNNNNNNNNNNNNNNNNNNNNNNNNNNNNNNNNNNNNNGGGAUAGUGGUGAGUGAGUGGGGUUAGGGUUGGGAUACGGCGGGGGGAGAGGAAAAGGCGAGGGAUGGCCAGUGAGUCUAGAGGCCAGCGUGCCAGAUGGGCCGUCGAGCCGGCCCGUGAGGCAACUUUGUCAUGCCUGGGCCGGGGAGGCCAGCACGCGUGCCUGUCGGAGAAGUGUCGUGCCUGGCACUACCAAUAUGGAAAUAGGGGUUAUAAAUCACUCUUUUCCACACUAGAUAGUCAAUAUUGAAAAAAUUAGGAACUAAAGCCGAAAUAAAAUGGUUCAUAGUUGUAGUUUCCCGAGUAGAUGCUUCAAAUUAUACUUCAAUUUGUAUGCCCUCGUGAUAAAUUUCCGCCUGAAGUUUCUAGAGCUCACUGAUUUUAGGACCUUCUAUACAAAGAGAAAUCUUAUGCUCUAGAAUUUGUGUAUGAAGCUUGCUUUAAUAACAAUCGCAGAUAUAAUUAUAUUCUUCAAUUAAGUAAUGAUAAUGUAAUAUUACAUCCUGUCAUUUACAAUAAGAUAGACAAGUGACCUUAAGUAUAGGGUUUCAAGCUAUUUAACGCUCAAUGCUUGUUAUAUGAUUCUCCGUGGUAACAUCAACUGAGUUGGCCAUCAUAAUUGGCACUGAACAUCCAAAGUUAAGUUUGUGCUCACCAUUUCACGAUUGUAUUUUUGGUACUGCUAUUUUCAUAUUACUAGUUCGCUGAAGAUAGAGCUCUGGCAUUUUGUUGAAGCUCAACUCAGCAUGAAAGUGUACAACUUCACUGUUAUGUUCUGGCACUUGAAUUUGCUAUGCUUUUCAUGCUACGAAUUUCCUGCUAGAAAUACUUACACAUUCAUUCUUAAAUCAUCUUGUUAUAUGGCAUUGUAGAUCUGAUGGAAAAGAACUUCUAUGAUAUAGGCCAGGGUGGAGGACCUUGUCAAUGGAAAACAUGGCUCCGCAUGAAGGUUCACUCGCCAAUAGUCUUCAAGAAGAUGUGAAGGUCAUGGUUCUGUGUUGAUGCCCCUUGAAAAAAAUAUCUUCUCAUUUUCUUGUUUGAAGGAACGCUAGGAGGAAUUGAGGAUGCGAAAAAUGUACGGAGGAAAGGGAGACUAGGAGAGGUGCACGGUGAGGCAUUGACGAAUCCUAAAAAGAGAAACUAUUGUCACGGUGUUCUCAUAUCCAAACUUGAAUCAAGUAUGCUUUUUGAAUGGCUUGCACUAAAGCAGAGUAUAAUCCUUAUACUUGUGUUUCAAAUUGACUACAUGUUGUCGUCUCCUCUUGUAUACAUCUUCCGCAUAUACCAUUUUGUGAUGCCUUGUUAAGCUACCAUUCAAGGGAAUGCUUGUUGACAAAUGUAUUGAUGCUUCCUUGAGUCUACUACUAAUAUAUUUGUAAUGUAUUUUUCACUGAAGAAAGCACCGCUAAUAGCAUGCUAUAGAAUUGUUAGCUAAAUAAUUCAAUGUACACUGCCUCGCUAAUAGAAUGCCAUAGUGCGAUAUAGCAUGCUAAUAGCGUAUUUUAAGGCCGCUCCUAUUUUUUAAUAGCGCGCUACUUUUUUCAUUGAUUUUUAUAGAGUUUAUCUCUACUCCUAAUGUCUUAGUUGGUAGUCUCCGUCCCACGGUUAAUUUUCGUCCCACCUACCAUGGUUUUUUUCGUCCUCCCUCCCACCUUCCAGCGAUUCCCCCCUGAACUGCCGCACUUCGGAUCCACAUGCCACCUCGCUGGAGGCGAACAUUGCCGCGGAUGCGAGGAGAACGGGACCAGACCGAGCACCUGCGCCCGUUUCUGCCCGUCCUCGUUGGUCGCGCCGCACACAGCUCGUCGGAGCCCCUAGCCGCGCCGAUGCGGUGGUCGGUGGGCGGAGUCGCAGGGCCGACGCUCGCGGCGAUGCGGCAGGGGUAGGGGAGAUGGCCGAGAUGUUGGAGUGAGUGGAGAAGAUAGGUGAAUGAGCCACAAGACCGGCCGCGGCAUGGGACUGAUGCGGUGGUCGGCGGGAGGAGUCACGCGGUUGCGGGCUCGGCGACUCACGCGGCGAUGCGGUGGGGAGAGGGCGAGAGGUGGCGGGUGAGUGGAGAGGACCGGUGAGUGAGCCCCAAGUUCUGCCGCGGCAUGUGACAGAUCGGCGGUCGACGGGCGGAGUCGCGCGGGCCGGCUCGUCGAGGCACGCGGCGAUGCGGCGGGGGAGGGUAAAGUGCGAGAGGAAUUGAGUGAGUGAAGGGGAGAGUGGUGAGUGAGUGGGGUUAGGGUUGGGAUACGGCGGCGGGAGCGGAAAAGGCGAGGGGUGGCCAGUGAGCCCAGAGGCCAGCAUGCCAGAUGGGCCGUAGAGCCGGCCCGUGAGGCAACUUUGUCGUGCCUGGGCCGAGGAGGCCAGCACGCGUGCCUGGCCGGGAAGUGUCAUGCCUGGCCCUACCGAUAUGGAAACAGAGGUUAUAAAUCACUCUUUUCCACACUAGAUAGUCAAUAUUAAAAAAAUCAGGAACUAAAGCCGAAAUAAAAUGGUUCCUGGUUGUAGUUUCCCGAGUUGAUUCUUCAAAUUAUACUUCAAUUUGUAUGCCCUCGUGAUAAAUUUCUGCCUAAAGUUUCUAGAGCUCACUGAUUUUAGGACCUUCUAUACAAAGAGAAAUCUGAUGCUCUAGAAUUUGUGUAUGAAGAUUGCUUUAAUAACAAUCACAGAUAUAAUUAUAUUCUUCAAUUAAGUAAGGAUAAUGUAAUAUUACAUCUUGUCAUUUACAAUAAGAUAGACAAGUGACCUUAAGAAUAGGGUUUCAAGCUAUUUAACGCUCAAUGCUUGUUAUAUAAUUCUCCAUGGUAACAUCAACUGAGUUGGGCAUCAUAAUUGGCACUAAGCAUCCAAAGUUAAGUUCGUGCUCACCAUUUCAUGAUUAUAUUUCUGGUACUGAUAUUUUCAUAUUACCAGUUCGCUGAAGAUAGAGCUCUAGCAUUGUAUUGGAGAUCAACUCCGCAUGAAAGUGUACAACUUCACUGUUUUGUUCUGGCACUCGAAUUUGCUAUGCUUUUCAUGCCAGGAAUUUCAUGCUAGGAAUACUUACACGUUCAUUCUUAAAUUGUCUUGUUAUAUGGCAUUGUAGAUCUGAUGGAGAAGAACUUAUGUGAUAUAGGCCAGGGCGGAGGAUGUUGUCAAUGAAAAACAUGGCUCCGCAUGAAGGUUCACUCGCCAAUAGUCUUCAAGAAGAUGCGAAGGUCAUGGUUUUGUGUUGAUUACCCUUGACAAAAAUAUCUUCUCAUUUUCUUGUUUGAAGGAACGCUAGGAGGAACGGAGGAAAGGGAGACUAGGAGAGAUGCACGGUGAGGCAUUGACGAAUCCUAAAAAGAGAAACUUUUGUCAUGGUGUUCUCAUAUCCAAACUUGAAUCAAGUGUGCUUUUUGAAUGGCUUGCACUAAAGUAGAGUAUAAUUCUUAUACUUGUGUUUUAAAUUGACUAUAUGUUGUCGUCUCCUCUUGUAUACAUGUUCCGUAACUACCAUUUUGUGAUGGGUUGUUAAGCUACCAUUCAAGGGAAUGCAUGUUGACAAAUGUAUUGAUGCUUUCUUUAGUCUACUAAUAAUAUAUUUGUAAUGUAUUUUUCGCUGAAAAAAACACUGCUAAUAGCACGGCAUAGAAUUUUCUAGCUAAAUAAAUCAAUGUACACUGCCUCGCUAAUAGAAUGCCAUAGUGCGAUAUAGCAUGCUAAUAGCGUAUUUUAAUGCCGCUCCUAUUUUGUUAUAGCGUGCUACUUUUUUCAUUGAUUUUUAUAGAGUUUAUCUCUACUCCUAAUGUCUUAGUUGGUAGUCUUUGUUCCACGAUUAAUUUUCGUCCCACCUAUCAUGGUUUUUUUCGUCCUCCCUCCCACUUCCCAGUGAUUCCCCCCUGAACUACCGCGCUUCGGAUCCACCUUCCACCUCGCCAGAGACGAACACCGCCGCGGAUGCGAGGAGAACGGGACCAGAUCGAGCACCCGCGCCCGUUUUCAGUAAGCUAGUUGCGCCCGUCCUCGUUGGUCGCGCCGCACACAACUCGUCGGAGCCCCUAGCCGCGCCGAUGCGGUGGUCGGUGGGCGGAGUCGCACGGUCGACGCUCGUGGCGAUGCGGCGGGGGGAGGGGAGAUGGCCGAGAUGUUGGAGUGAGUGGAGAAGAUAGGUGAAUGAGCCACAAGACCGGCCGCGGCAUGGAACUGAGGCGGUGGUCGGCGGGUGGAGUUGCGCGGUUGCGGGCUCGGCGACUUGCGCGGCGAUGCGGUGGGGAGAGGGCAAGAGGUGGCGUGUGAGUGGAGAGGACCGGUGAGUGAGCCCCAAGAUCUGCCACGGCAUGUGACAGAUCGGUCGUCGGCGGGCGGAGUCUCGCGGGCCGGCUCGUCGAGGCAUGCAGCAAUGCUGCGGGGGAGGGUAAAGUGCGAGAGGAAUUGAGUGAGUGGAGUGGAGAGUGGUGAGUGAGUGGGGUUAGGGUUGGGAUACGGCGGGGGGAGCGGAAGAGGCGAGGGGUGGCCAGUGAGCCCAGAGGCCAGCGUGCCAUAUGGGCCGUCGAGCCCGCCCGUGAGGCAACUUUGUCGUGCCUGGGCCGGGGAGGCCAGCACGCGUGCCUGGCCGGGAAGUGUCGUGCCUGGCCCUGCUGAUAUGGGAACAAAGGUUAUAAAUUACUCUUUUCCACACUAGAUAAUCAAUAUUAAAAAAAUUAGGAACUAAAGCCAAAAUAAAAUGGUUCCUGCUUGUAGUUUCCCGAGUUGAUUCUUCAAAUUAUACUUCAAUUUGUAUGCCCUCGUCAUAAAUUUCCGUCUAAAGUUUCCAGAGCUCACUGGUUUAAGGACCUUUUAUACAAAAAGAAUUCUGAUGCUCUAGAAUUUCCGUAUGAAGAUUGCUUUAAUAACAAUCGCAAAUAUAAUUAUAUUCUUUAAUUAAGUAAUGAUAAUGUAAUAUUACAUCCUGCCAUUUAAAAUAAGAUAGACAAGUGACCUUAAGUAUAGGGUUUCAAGCUAUUUAACGCUCAAUGCUUGUUAUAUAAUUCUCGGUGGUAACAUCAACUGAGUUGGGCAUCAUAAUUGGCACUGAACAUCCAAAGAUAAGUUCGUGCUCACCAUUUCACGAGUAUAUUUUUGGUACUGAUAUUUUCAUAUUACCACUUCACUGAAGAUAGAGCUCUGGCAUUAUAUUGAAGCUCAACUCCGCAUGAAAGUGUACAACUUCACUGUUAUGUUCUGGCACUCGAAUUUGCUAUUCUUUUCAUGCUAGGAAUACUUACACAUUCAUUCGUAAAUCAUCUUGUUAUAUGGCAUUGUAGAUAUGAUGGAAAAGAACCUCUGUGAUAUAGGCCAGGGUAGAGGAGGUUGUCAAUGGAAAACAUGGCUCCGCAUGAAGGUUCACUCGCCAAUAGUCUUCAAGAAGAUGUGAAGGUCAUGGUUCUGUGUUGAUGCCCCUUGAAAAAAAUAUCUUUUCAUUUUCUUGUUUGAUGGAACGUUAGGAGGAAUUGAGGAUGCGAAAAAUGUACGGAGGAAAGGGAGACUAGGAGAGGUGCACGGUGAGGCAUUGACGAAUCCUAAAAAGAGAAACUUUUGUCACGGUGUUCUCAUAUCCA
This 8616-nucleotide long non-coding RNA is filed under the name Triticum aestivum (bread wheat). Its description in RNAcentral is "long non-coding RNA (TAES_LNC020705)". The record is from RNAcentral. Lineage: Eukaryota; Viridiplantae; Streptophyta; Magnoliopsida; Poales; Poaceae.